UCAAGUUAUUAAGGGUGCAGGGCGGAUGCCUUGGCACUAGGAGCCGAUGAAGGACGUGAUAAGCUGCGAUAAGCUUCGGGGAGUUGCACGUAAACUUUGAUCCGAAGAUUUCCGAAUGAGGAAACUCACUUAGAGUAAUGUCUAAGUAUCAUUAAGUGAAUACAUAGCUUAAUGAGGGGAACUCAGGGAACUGAAACAUCUAAGUACCUGAAGGAAGAGAAAGAAAUUCGAUUCCGUAAGUAGCGGCGAGCGAACGCGGAUUAGCCCAAACCAAUAAAGUUUUCUUUAUUGGGGUUGCGGACAUAUCAUAACGAAGAGGUAUCGUAAUUGAAGAGGUUUGGAAAGACCCACCACAGAAGGUAAUAGUCCUGUAUGUUAAACGAGAAGACUUUAGAUAUGAUCCAGAGUACCACGGGACACGUGAAACCCUGUGGGAAGCAGGAGGGACCACCCUCCAAGGCUAAAUACUACCUAGUGACCGAUAGCGUAUAGUACCGUGAGGGAAAGGUGAAAAGAACCCCGGGAGGGGAGUGAAAUAGAACCUGAAACCCUGCACUUACAAGCUGUGGAAGCACAUUUCUUGUGUGACCGCGUACUUUUUGUAGAACGGGCCAACGAGUUACGUUAAGUAGCAAGGUUAAGCACUUAAGGUGCGGAGCCGUAGCGAAAGCGAGUUUUAACUGAGCGUUCAGUUACUUGACGUAGACCCGAAACCGGGCGACCUACCCAUGAGCAGGAUGAAGCGAAAGUAAAAUUUCGUGGAGGUCCGAACCCACGAGCGUUGAAAAGCUCGGGGAUGACUUGUGGGUAGCGGUGAAAUUCCAAUCGAGCCCGGAGAUAGCUGGUUCUCCCCGAAAUAGCUUUAGGGCUAGCCUCAAGGUGAGAGAUACGGAGGUAGAGCACUGAAUGUCCUAGGGGGUAUUGCACCUACCGAAGACUAUCAAACUCCGAAUGCCGUCAUCUUAUACUUGGGAGUCAGACUGUGGGUGAUAAGAUUCAUAGUCGAAAGGGCAACAGCCCAGAUCGUCAGCUAAGGUCCCUAAAUGUAAGUUAAGUGGUAAAGGAUGUGGGAUUGCACAGACAACCAGGAUGUUGGCUUAGAAGCAGCCACUCAUUCAAAGAGUGCGUAAUAGCUCACUGGUCGAGUGAUCCUGCGCCGAAGAUUUCCGGGGCUAAAACUUACUACCGAAGCUACGGCAUCAGUAAUGAUGGGUAGGGGAGCUUCCCAUACGGGUUGAAGCAUGACCGUAAGGACAUGUGGACAGUAUGGGAGUGAGAAUGUUGGCAUGAGUAGCGAGAUGUGGGUGAGAAUCCCACAGGCCGUAAACCCAAGGUUUCCAGGGGAAGGUUCGUCCGCCCUGGGUUAGUCGGGACCUAAGCUGAGGCCGAAAGGCGUAGGUGAUGGACAACAGGUUGAUAUUCCUGUACUACCGAUAACCGUUUGAGAGAAGGGAUGACACAGUAGGAUAAGCUAAGCACACUGUUGGUUAUGUGUGCCCAAGCAUUGAGGCAGUCAAAGUAGGCAAAUCCGCUUUGAUAAUGCUGGGAUGUGAUGGGGAGCGAAAUUUAGUAGCGAAGUAGCUGAUUUCACACUGUCAAGAAAAGUCUCUAUCGAGGUUAAAGGUACCCGUACCGCAAACCGACACAGGUGGGUGAGGAGAGUAUCCUAAGGCCAGCGAGAGAACUGUUGUUAAGGAACUCGGCAAAAUGACCCCGUAACUUAGGGAUAAGGGGUGCCACCAUCAGGUGGCCGCAGAGAAUAGGCCCAAGCGACUGUUUACCAAAAACAUAGGUUUCUGCUAAGUCGCAAGACGAUGUAUAGGAGCUGACGCCUGCCCGGUGCUGGAAGGUUAAGGGGAUCUGUUAGAGCAAUCGAAGCAGUGAACUUAAGCCCCAGUAAACGGCGGCCGUAACUAUAACGGUCCUAAGGUAGCGAAAUUCCUUGUCGGGUAAGUUCCGACCCGCACGAAAGGCGUAACGAUUUGGGCACUGUCUCAACAACAGACUCGGUGAAAUUGUAAUUCCGGUGAAGAUGCCGGAUACCUGCGACAGGACGGAAAGACCCCAUGGAGCUUUACUGUAGCUUGACAUUGGGUCUUGGUACUACAUGUACAGGAUAGGUGGGAGGCUUUGAAACCAGGACGCCAGUUUUGGCGGAGCCAUCCUUGGGAUACCACCCUUGUAGUACUGGGACUCUAACCAUAGGCCAUGAAUCUGGUCUUGGGACACUGUCAGGUGGGAAGUUUGACUGGGGCGGUCGCCUCCCAAAAGGUAACGGAGGCGCUCAAAGGUUCUCUCAGUACGGUCGGAAAUCGUACGUAGAGUGUAAAGGCAAAAGAGAGCUUGAUUGCAAGACAUACAGGUCGAGCAAGGAUGAAAAUCGGACUUAGUGAUCCGGUGGUUCUGCGUGGAAGGGCCAUCGCUCAACGGAUAAAAGCUACCCUGGGGAUAACAGGCUUAUCUCCCCCAAGAGUCCACAUCGACGGGGAGGUUUGGCACCUCGAUGUCGGCUCAUCACAUCCUGGGGCUGUAGUAGGUCCCAAGGGUUGGGCUGUUCGCCCAUUAAAGUGGUACGCGAGCUGGGUUCAGAACGUCGUGAGACAGUUCGGUCCCUAUCCGUCGCAGGCGUAGGAAAUUUGAGAAGACCUGUCCUUAGUACGAGAGGACCGGGAUGGACGUACCUCUGGUGUACCAGUUGUCCUGCCAAGGGCAUGGCUGGGUAGCUAUGUACGGAAUGGAUAAGCGCUGAAAGCAUCUAAGCGCGAAGCCAACUUCAAGAUAAGAUUUCCCACCGCAAGGGUAAGACCCCAGAAAGACUAUCUGGUUGAUAGGUCGAAGGUGUAAGUGGAGCAAUGUAUUUAGCUUAUCGAUACUAAUAGGUCGAGGACUUGACCAA
Molecule: ribosomal RNA, 2896 nt
Filed under: Clostridioides difficile
Lineage: Bacteria; Bacillati; Bacillota; Clostridia; Peptostreptococcales; Peptostreptococcaceae
Description: 23S ribosomal RNA
Rfam family: Bacterial large subunit ribosomal RNA
Source: RNAcentral